UUUAUGGAGAGUUUGAUCCUGGCUCAGGAUGAACGCUGGCGGCGUGCCUAAUACAUGCAAGUCGAGCGAACGGACGAGAAGCUUGCUUCUCUGAUGUUAGCGGCGGACGGGUGAGUAACACGUGGAUAACCUACCUAUAAGACUGGGAUAACUUCGGGAAACCGUAGCUAAUACCGGAUAAUAUUUUGAACCGCAUGGUUCAAAAGUGAAAGACGGUCUUGCUGUCACUUAUAGAUGGAUCCGCGCUGCAUUAGCUAGUUGGUAAGGUAACGGCUUACCAAGGCAACGAUGCAUAGCCGACCUGAGAGGGUGAUCGGCCACACUGGAACUGAGACACGGUCCAGACUCCUACGGGAGGCAGCAGUAGGGAAUCUUCCGCAAUGGGCGAAAGCCUGACGGAGCAACG
RNAcentral lists this ribosomal RNA (406 nucleotides) under Staphylococcus aureus. RNAcentral describes it as "bacterial SSU rRNA". It matches the Rfam family "Bacterial small subunit ribosomal RNA", at positions 1 to 396 of the family's 1533-position model. Lineage: Bacteria; Bacillati; Bacillota; Bacilli; Caryophanales; Staphylococcaceae. The record is from RNAcentral.